AGAGUUUGAUCCUGGCUCAGAACGAACGCUGGCGGCAGGCCUAAUACAUGCAAGUCGAACGAACCUUCGGGUGAGUGGCGCACGGGUGAGUAACACGUGGGAACGUACCCUUCACUGCGGAACAACGUCGGGAAACUGACGCUAAUACCGCAUAAUGUCUCCGGACCAAAGAUUUAUCGGUGAAGGAUCGGCCCGCGUUAGAUUAGGUUGUUGGUGGGGUAAUGGCCUACCAAGCCUACGAUCUAUAGCUGGUCUUAGAGGAUGAUCAGCCACACUGGGACUGAGACACGGCCCAGACUCCUACGGGAGGCAGCAGUAAGGAAUAUUGGACAAUGGGCGCAAGCCUGAUCCAGCCAUGCCGCGUGAGUGACGAAGGCCUUAGGGUUGUAAAGCUCUUUCAGGUGCGAAGAUAAUGACUGUAACACCAGAAGAAGCCCCGGCUAAAUUCGUGCCAGCAGCCGCGGUAAUACGAAUGGGGCGAGCGUUGUUCGGAAUCACUGGGCGUAAAGCGUAUGCAGGCGGACAUGCAAGUCAGAAGUGAAAUCCCAGGGCUUAACCCUGGGAAUGGCUUUUGAAACU
RNAcentral lists this ribosomal RNA (579 nucleotides) under uncultured marine bacterium. Its description in RNAcentral is "bacterial SSU rRNA". It matches the Rfam family "Bacterial small subunit ribosomal RNA", at positions 8 to 634 of the family's 1533-position model. The record is from RNAcentral.